CUCUAGUGAUGUGGGGGCUGUGCUUUGGCAAAGUGGGUGGGGUUAUAUCCUGCCUGUUUGGCCCUGUCUGCGGGUAUCACCGGACGGGGCCACAGUGUCUCCCGACCCCUCCUGUCUCAGCCUCCAGUAUUUAUGCUGCAGUAGUUUAUGUGUCGGGGGGCUAGGGUCAGUCUGUUAUAUCUGGAGUAUUUCUCCUGUCUUAUCCUGUGUCCUGUGUGAAUUUAAGUUUGCUCCCUCUAAUUCUCUCCCUCUCCCUCUCCCUCCCCUCCUGGAGGACCUGAGCCUAGGACCAUGCCUCAGGGAUACCUGGCCUGAUGACUCCUUGCUGUCCCCAGUCCACCUGGUUGUGCUGCUGCUCCAGUUUCAACUGUUCUGCCUGCGGCUAUGGAACCCUGACCUGUUCACCGGACGUGCUAUCUGUCCCAGACCUGCUGUUUUCAACUCUCUAGAGACAGCAGGAGCGGUAGAGAUACUCUGAAUGAUCAGCUAUGAAAAGCCAACUGACAUUUACUGAGGUGCUGACCUGUUGCACCCUCGACAACCACUGUGAUUAUUAUUAUUUGACCAUGCUGGUCAUCUAUGAACAUUUGAACAUCUUGGCCAUGUUCUGUUAUAAUCUCCACUCGGCACAGCCAGAAGAGGACUGGCCACCCCUCAUAGCCUGGUUCCUCUCUAGGUUUCUUCCUAGGUUCUGGCCUUUCUAGGGAGUUUUUCCUAUCCACCGUGCUUCUACACCUGCAUUGCUUGCUGUUUGGGGUUUUAGGCUGGGUUUCUGUACAGCACUUUGAGAUAUCAGCUGAUGUAAGAAGGGCUAUAUAAAUACAUUUGAUUUGAUUGACAUACAAAUGAUAAGACACACACUCUACACACACGUACACAUGUUGGUCUGAGGUAAAACACUAAAUGUAUUGUAGUUAUGUGGUCUGAGGUAACACACUAAAUGUAUUGUAGAUAUGUGGUCUGACGUAAAACACUAAAUGUAUUGUAGAUAUGUGGUCUGACGUAAAACACUAAAUGUAUUGUAGAUAUGAGGUAACACACUAAAUGUAUUGUAGAUAUGUGGUAGUAGUGGUCUGAGGUAACACACUAAAUGUAUUGUAGAUAUGUGGUCUGAGCUAAAACACUAAAUGUAUUGUAGAUAUGUGGUCUGACGUAAAACACUAAAUGUAUUGUAGAUAUGAGGUAACACACUAAAUGUAUUGUAGAUAUGUGGUAGUAGUGGUCUGAGGUAACACACUAAAUGUAUUGUAGAUAUGUGGUAGUAGUGGUCUGAGGUAAAACACUAAAUGUAUUGUAGAUAUGUGGUAGUAGUGGUCUGAGGUAACACACUAAAUGUAUUGUAGAUAUGAGGUCUGAGGUAAAACACUAAAUGUAUUGUAGAUCUGUGGUCUGAGGUAACACACUAAAUGUAUUGUAGAUAUGUGGUCUGUGGUAACACACUAAAUGUAUUGUAGAUAUGUGGUCUGAGGUAACACACUAAAUGUAUUGUAGAUAUGUGGUAGUAGUGGUCUGAGGUAACACACUAAAUGUAUUGUAGAUAUGUGGUAGUAGUGGUCUGAGAUAAUACACUAAAUGUAUUGUAGAUAUGUGGUCUGAGGUAACACACUAAAUGUAUUGUAGAUAUGUGGUAGUAGAGGUCUGAGGUAACACACUAAAUGUAUUGUAAAAAGUGUUAUGAAAUGUAAUGUCAUGUUAUAUUAUUUGAUGUAUAUAACUUCCUUAAUGUUUCUGGUCCCCAGGGUUUCCUUUAUAAAUACAAAUUCUUGUAUUAAUCAAAUCUUCGCUAAUGAUGCAGAGUUUUGCCUAUAAAGCAAUGCCAUUUUCCGUUGGCAGUAGUCACCGUACAUGGUGACAAUAACAAAGAAGAGCCAAAGGUUUGUAACUUAUAAUUCAUAGAUCAUACAAAGUGUUUUCUCAGGACUCUUUUUGAAGAUGUAAAACGUGUAUGUUGAUUUGAUGUGUAUGAGGAAGUGAAUCUAGACGCAGCACUGGAAAAUUCUAAAAUUAUUCUUGACAAUUGUUGACAAGCAUGCACCUGUUAAGAAACUUAACUCAAAUCAAAUUUUAUUGGUCACAUACACAUAUUUAGCAGAUGUUAUUGCGGGUGUAGUGAAAUGCUUGUGUUUCUAGCUCCAACAGUGCAGUAAUAUCUAACAAUUCACAACAAUACACACAAAUCUAAAAGUAAAAUAAUGGAAUAUUUAAAUAUUAGGAUGAGCAAUGUCGGAGUGGUAUUGACUAAAAUACAGUAGAAUAGAAAACAGUAUGUACAUACGAGACGAUUAAAGCAGUAUGUAAACUUUAUUAAAGUACUAGUGUUUGUAACGUCCGUCUGAAGGAGUAGACCGAGGUUUAAUGCUCAUCAUGUAUUUAUUUUGAUCUUAACACUGAAACAAAGAAACCAAUAACGACCAGCCAAACAGUUCUGUCAGGUAUGUAAUACAAAACAGAAAUUAACCACCCACCAAAACACAACGAGAAAACCCCUACAUAAAUAUGGACUCUAAUCAGAGGCAAUGAGAUUCAGCUGCCUCCAAUUAGAGAUCAACCCCAAACAAUUCCAACAUAGAAACAGAAA
This 2578-nucleotide long non-coding RNA is filed under the name Salmo salar (Atlantic salmon). Its description in RNAcentral is "lncRNA (ENSSSAG00000102322.1, ENSSSAG00000103955.1)". The record is from RNAcentral. Lineage: Eukaryota; Metazoa; Chordata; Actinopteri; Salmoniformes; Salmonidae.